RNAcentral lists this ribosomal RNA (1937 nucleotides) under human metagenome. RNAcentral describes it as "bacterial LSU rRNA". It matches the Rfam family "Bacterial large subunit ribosomal RNA", at positions 707 to 2653 of the family's 2925-position model. The record is from RNAcentral.
UCAUAGACGCGAAACCUAGUGAUCUAGGCCUGUCCAGGCUGAAGCUGAGGUAAGACUCAGUGGAGGGCCGAACUCACCGCCGUUGAAAAGUUGGGAGAUGAGAUAGGUCUAGGGGUGAAAAGCCAAUCGAACUAGGAGAUAGCUCGUUCUCUCCGAAAUGCAUUUAGGUGCAGCCUUGAACUGAGAUAUGUGGGGGUAGAGCUCUGUAUGAUCUAGGGGGCGUACUGCUUACCGAAAUCAAGCAAACUGCGAAUACCAUAUAUCAUGUUCAGGAGUGAGUCCGUGGAUGACAAGGUCCUCGGACGAGAGGGGAACAGCCCAGACCGCCAGCUAAGGUCCCUAAUUAUGUCUAAGUGGGAAAGGAGGUGGACAUUCAUAGACAACCAGGAGGUUGGCUUAGAAGCAGCCAUGCCUUGAAAGAGUGCGUAAUAGCUCACUGGUCGAGAGUGCCUGCGCCGAAGAUGUAACGGGGCUAAGACAUAAACCGAAGCUGCGGAAGAUACACUGUAUCUUGGUAGGAGAGCGUUCUGUAGGCCGUCGAAGGGAUGCCGCAAGGCCGUCCUGGAGGUAUCAGAAGCGAGAAUGCAGGAAUGAGUAGCGAGAAGGCGGGCGAGAAUCCCGCCGGCCGGAAGUCCAAGGUUUCCAGGGGAAGGCUUGUCCGCCCUGGGGAAGUCGGGACCUAAGCAUAAGCAAAAUUGUGAUGGCGAAUGGAAAACAGGUUAAUAUUCCUGUACCGCUGUUAUCGCUUGAGAGACGGAGUGACGCAGGAAGGUAUGCGAGAAGGCUGACGGUUUAGCCUUUCUAAGGGCCCAGCGUGGGCGUGCAGGUAAAUCCGCACGCCUAAACGUGAGACCUGACGGGGAAGUGCAUUUGCAUAAGUCGCAGAUCCUACACUGCCAAGAAAAACUUCUAUCGAUGAGAAGCAGCGCCCGUACUGUAAACCGACACAGGUGGACAGAGUGAGAAACUUAAGGCCGACAGGAUAACUCUAGCUAAGGAACUCUGCAAAAUAGCCCCGUAACUUCGGGAGAAGGGGUGCCUGACAUACCUGAAGGAGAGAAGCGCUCCCAGGGGAAACAGGCCGCAGUGAAGAGUCUCAAGCAACUGUUUACCAAAAACACAGGUCUAUGCUAAGCUGAAAGGCGACGUAUAUGGGCUGACACCUGCCCAGUGCCGGAAGGUUAAGAGGAGGAGUGAGAGCUCCGAUUUGAAGCCCCGGUGAACGGCGGCCGUAACUAUAACGGUCCUAAGGUAGCGAAAUUCCUUGUCGGGUAAGUUCCGACCUGCACGAAUGGUGAAAUGAUUUGAGAGCUGUCUUGGCUGGAGACCUGGUGAAGUUGUAAUGCCGGUGAAGAUACCGGCUACCUGCAGUAGGACGGAAAGACCCCGUGGAGCUUUACUGUAGCUUGGCAUUGGGUUCUGGCAAUGUGUGUAUAGGAUAGUUGGGAGACUGUGAUGUGAUGGCGUCAGCCAUUGCUGAGUCGCUGUUGGAAUACCAACCAUAUGCUGUCGGAAUUCUAAUCUGGCAACGGAGACAGUGCUAGGUGGGCAGUUUGACUGGGGCGGUCGCCUCCCAAAGAGUAACGGAGGCGUUCAAAGGUUCCCUCAGGCUGGAUGGAAAUCAGCCUAAGAGUGCAAACGCAUAAGGGAGCUUGACUGCAAGACUGACGGGUCGAGCAGGUACGAAAGUAGGAGUUAGUGAUCCGGCGGUUCCGUAUGGAAGGACCGUCGCUCAACGGAUAAAAGCUACCCCGGGGAUAACAGGCUGAUACUUCCCAAGAGUCCAUAUCGACGGAAGUGUUUGGCACCUCGAUGUCGGCUCGUCUCAUCCUGGGGCUGGAGAAGGUCCCAAGGGUUGGGCUGUUCGCCCAUUAAAGAGGCACGCGAGCUGGGUUCAGAACGUCGUGAGACAGUUCGGUCCCUAUCCACUGCAGGCG